GAAACAAAGCCCCAAAAAAUUGGGCCCUCUUUAGACUUUAAGAAGCCCAAGCUGAGCCCAAAAGAGAUGAGGCCUAUUUGUAUAAUGGAACCACAUUAAGGAAGCGAAAACGCACUAGACGCCUGAGCCUCAGCGACAGAAGGGAAGAAGAAGAAAAAGAAGAAGAUGAUAUACCGGAAAUGGAGCCUGUUAACUGGACCAGUCGCGAUAUUGGGAGGCAUAGUGGGCACCGUAGUCGUCGGCCACUACCUUCUCAUUGAGAACGAUUGGAUGAAGUCGGAGCCAAGGAAGGCAGAUGCAUCCACUUCAAGCAAAUAAGAGAGGAAGGUGAAGAGUUGCAUUUUCAGUGCGACCCAAGCUUUUUUGCUUUCUGUCUAUAUUUCAUGAACAUGUUCUGCAAACUUGUGGUGAUGUUGCACUUUCAGAUGUGACUUGUUAGUUAAUAAUCCAGAAUUGAAAUGUGAGUUCCGAUUUGAAGGUUGUGGAGUAAUUUCCCUGCAUUUGUGUUCUCUGUUGUCCUAACAUUGCUUUGAUUUUGAAUCAAGCUAAGAAUCGAUGAAAUUCGAUUUGCUUUCGUUAUAA
Prunus persica (peach) is the source of this 582-nucleotide long non-coding RNA. RefSeq lists it as uncharacterized. Lineage: Eukaryota; Viridiplantae; Streptophyta; Magnoliopsida; Rosales; Rosaceae. The transcript is spliced from 2 exons. The record is from RefSeq and is a predicted model, not a curated record.